This 245-nucleotide ribosomal RNA is filed under the name uncultured Mucilaginibacter sp. RNAcentral's name for it is "partial 16S ribosomal RNA". It matches the Rfam family "Bacterial small subunit ribosomal RNA", at positions 524 to 768 of the family's 1533-position model. Lineage: Bacteria; Pseudomonadati; Bacteroidota; Sphingobacteriia; Sphingobacteriales; Sphingobacteriaceae. The record is from RNAcentral.
UACGGAGGAUCCAAGCGUUAUCCGGAUUUAUUGGGUUUAAAGGGUGCGUAGGUGGCCUGUUAAGUCAGGGGUGAAAGACGGUAGCUCAACUAUCGCAGUGCCCUUGAUACUGAUGGGCUUGAAUGAACUGGAGGUAGGCGGAAUGUGACAAGUAGCGGUGAAAUGCAUAGAUAUGUCACAGAACACCAAUUGCGAAGGCAGCUUACUAUGGUUUGAUUGACACUGAGGCACGAAAGCGUGGGGAU